Molecule: ribosomal RNA, 253 nt
Filed under: uncultured bacterium
Lineage: Bacteria
Description: partial 16S ribosomal RNA
Rfam family: Bacterial small subunit ribosomal RNA
Source: RNAcentral
GACAGAGGUGCCAAGCGUUAGGCGGAAUCACUGGGCUUAAAGCGUGUGUAGGCGGGCGGGCAAGUACCUUGUGAAAUCCCACGGCUCAACCGUGGAACGGCUGGGUAUACUGCCUGUCUUGAGCCAGCUAGGGGCGACCGGAACAGACGGUGGAGCGGUGAAAUGCGUAGAUAUCGUCUGGAACGCCAAAGGUGAAAACAGGUCGCUGGGGCUGAGCUGACGCUGAGACACGAAAGCUAGGGGAGCAAACAGG